This is an RNA transcript of Orcinus orca (killer whale), 5754 nucleotides long. It is a transcript of the gene named inter-alpha-trypsin inhibitor heavy chain 4, with no coding region annotated. The record is from RefSeq and is a predicted model, not a curated record. The transcript has 24 exons. Lineage: Eukaryota; Metazoa; Chordata; Mammalia; Artiodactyla; Delphinidae.
CUGCCACGUACUAGAAAGAACCUUGGGUGUGGAGACCUGGAGCUGAUCUGUGUGACUUCAGACUGUCUCUCCUCCUUUUCUGAGCCUGUUUCCCCUUGUAUGAGGCAAGGGAGCCCAUUGCACAAAACAGGCCAUAGUCACACUGCUCAGAGUGAAGCAGGUGGGGGCCUGGGGCUCACCCUUCCCUUGGUUUUCACAGAAGCCAUCGAGAUGCCUCCAAGGACCCCAAGGCUCUGAGGGACUCAGGAUCCUCAAAGCGCCCCCCCCCCCCGCCCCGCCUUGUUCAUAUUGCCUCCCUGCCAGCUCGCAUCCCCUCAAAGACAAAGCCAGGUGGAGGCUCCUCUCUGGCCAGUGGCAGUCUGCUUCCUGAGCUACUGUCCCCUCUCCCAAACAGGGUAAGCCUCCCCCUUGCCACUCCCACAGCUCUGCCUGAGGCAUGGAGCACCAGGUUCUCAGCUCAUGUGCGAUUCUUCCCGCUUCAGGCCUCAGUGUCUCUGUGCGCAUGGACCUGUCAGACUCAGGGGACUGCAGAGGCCUGUCCAGCUGUGACAGCAAGACCACAGACAGUCCGGAGAUGGACUGGCAGGGUCUGGGCUUACAGUGCCUGGCUCGGGGCCAGUGCCUACAGGGAAGUCCCGCCUGUCCCCUGGGCAGGUGGAGCGGGCUGCACAGAGCCUUUCCCACAUUCCUGGCCAGCCCGGCCUCCUUAUAUAGCUGUUUCCAGGCUGGGUCCAUGCUCUGUGCCCCAAGGGAGCAGACCUUCUGUGGCGACCAGGCCUGGGCCUGCUCGCUGGGUUCCUGGGGAGGCUCUUUCCCCAGACUGCUGAACGGGUAUGUCUUCCCAAGUAAUCCCAAUCACAUCCAUAGUCAAAGGGAGAGCUGUAUAGAUGCGCCAGAGGUGAGGCUCCUGGCUAAGUCAUGCUAAGGAAGGGGAAUAUUUACUUAUAGCCACAGACCCAGCCUCCUUCCCUUGGGGCAGAUGCUACUGGCGUUGACCGAGGCAGGGCUAAUGGAGGAGCCCCCUUCCCGGCCCUUGCAAGCCUGUCACUGCGCCAGGGUCCCAAGUAGGCCCUGAAGAUGGUACCCUUCCCCAGUUCCCACCCCUGGGAUAGUGUCACUGAGUCCUCCUUCCCCGACCAAGGAUCUGGCACCUGGCCACUUUUCUGAAGCCUCUUUAUCCCAUCUGUGGCCCCAGACUCAGGAGCCAAGCUUUCCCAGAGCCACAGGGACAUAAGCACCAGCUGCAUCCAGAUCCCCUAGUAUUUAUUCGCUUUAUUGCUACUUGUUAUGAAAGCAGUCUUUCAACUUUAUUAAAGGAAAAUUGAAAAAACAUCAUCUGUAAUCCUACCCCAGGCCCUCCAGCCACCUCCUGUGGUCUGAGCCCACGACACCGGCACUGCCUUGGCGUGCUGACAGAUCGGCGUUCUGCCGUUUCUCACUCCAGGCGUGACUCACGGGCUCCCUUGACACGGCUGACCUCCGUGUAGGCCACCUGAACAUCGUCCCCUUCAGGAGCUCUGUGCUCUCUCUGUUCCAUGCUUCCCUCAGGAGGUUCCCCAGAGCGGGACUUCUGGGCCACCACGUGUGGGCAUCUUUAUGGCCCUCGGUUUGUAUUGCCAAGUGCAGAUCUUGUUUCAGAGGCCUUGCUGGAGUUGCACCAAGAGUCCUGGCUAGAAUAAUGGGGCCCAAAGAGCAUCCUGAGGCCCCAGCAGAGAGAAGGGGGGCUCCUUGACCUAGCCUCUCUCAUCCCAGAAAUAAGGUGUAUCCAUCCUGCCUUGGCCCCAGCAGAUCUUGCCCCACUCAGGCACCCCAAGGGCUGCUUGGUGCAUCUGGGGUCCCACUGCCCAGUCACACUGACCUGACUUCCAGGUCCCUGCCUCCUGCAAACCACCCUCUGGCCCUCUUUCCAACCACGCCUGUGCUUCUCCCAGGCUGGGCUUAUGGAGAGCAGGCCAGUUCACUGCUAUGUCCUCCAGUCCUAGGGAGCCUGUCGGCGAGAUGAGCCAUGCAAGGGGUGGUGGUGGUUUGGUCGGAUUCUGGACCAUUCAGAAGGGGCGCCAGCACCUAACUCCCACCUGAGCCUGCUCCUGCUCAGUACACGUUCCCAUCCCCAGCCAAGGUCCACAGGACAUUCGCAGUUUGCCUGCUUAUCUGAGGCCACUGCGGUGUUUGGCUUGCAGAUCCCAAUUUCCCAGAACCUGCCCCCACAGGGGCGGGGCAGCGAGCAAGUUACAAAUUCAUUGCGCUCUUCCUCUCAAGUUCAGAAGCAGCCUGCCAGGCACCAGAGCCAAAAUGAAGACCCCAGCCCCUGGCCGCGCCUGUGGCGUCGUGCUGGUCCUGCUCUCGCUGGCCACCCUCCAGACCCUCAGGGCCCAAAAGAAUGACAUCGACAUCUACAGCCUCACUGUAGACUCCAGGGUCUCAUCCCGAUUUGCCCACACAGUCGUCACCAGCCGGGUGGUCAACAAGGCCAGUACUUUGCAGGAGGUCACCUUCCAGAUGGAGCUGCCCAAGAAGGCCUUUAUCACCAACUUCUCCAUGAUCAUUGAUGGUGUGACCUACCCCGGUAACAUCAAGGAGAAGGCUGCAGCCCAGGAGCAGUACAGUGCGGCUGUGGAGAGGGGAGAGAGCGCCGGCCUCGUCAAGGCCACUGGGAGAAAGACAGAGCAGUUCCAGGUGUCAGUCAGUGUGGCGCCCGCUGCCAAGAUCACCUUCGAGCUGGUGUAUGAGGAGCUCCUGGUGCGGCAUCUGGGAGCGUACGAGCUGCUGCUGAAAGUCCAGCCCCAGCAGCUGGUCAAGCACCUGCAGAUGGACAUUUACAUCUUUGAGCCUCAGGGUAUCAGCUUUCUGGAGACAGAGAGCACCUUCAUGACCAAUGAACUGGCAGAGGCCCUCACCACCACACAGAACAAGACCAAGGCUCAUGUCCGAUUCAGGCCAACGCUGUCCCAGCAGCAAAAGUCUCCAGAGCAGCAGCAGGACACAGUCCUGGAUGGCAACUUCAUCGUCCGCUAUGAUGUGGACCGGACUGUCUCCGGGGGUUCCAUUCAGAUCGAGAAUGGCUACUUUGUGCACUACUUUGCCCCUGAGCACCUGGCCACGAUACCCAAGAACGUGAUCUUUGUCAUUGACAAGAGCGGCUCCAUGAGCGGCAGGAAAAUCCAGCAGACCCGGGAAGCCCUCAUCAAGAUCCUGGGUGACCUCGGUCCCCGUGACCAGUUCAACCUCAUCAGCUUCAGUGGGGAAGCAACCCCGUGGAAGCCACAGCUAGUGGCAGCCUCGGCUGAGAACGUGAAUGAGGCCAAGAGCUACGCCACUGCCAUCCAGGCCCAGGGAGGGACCAAUAUAAACGAUGCGAUGCUGAUGGCCGUGCAGCUGCUAGAGAGAGCCAACCGGGAGGAGCUGCUGCCCCCAGGAAGCGUCACCCUCAUCAUCCUCCUCACCGACGGCGACCCCACUGUGGGGGAAACCAACCCCUCAGAGAUCCAGAAGAACGUUCAGGAAGCCAUAGACGGCCAGCACAGCCUCUUCUGCCUGGGCUUCGGCUUCGACGUCAGCUACGCCUUCCUGGAGAAGCUGGCACUGGACAACGGUGGCCUGGCCCGGCGCAUCUAUGAGGACUCGGACUCCGCACUGCAGCUCCAGGACUUCUACCAAGAGGUGGCCAACCCACUGAUGACAUCGGUGGCCUUCGAGUACCCAAGCAACACCGUGGAGGCGGUCACACAGGACGCCUUCCGGCUGUUCUUCAAGGGCUCCGAGUUGGUGGUGGCCGGGAAGCUCCGGGACCAGAGCCCUGAUGUGUUCUCAGCCAAAGUCAGGGGGCAGCUGCACAUGGAGAACAUCACCUUUGUAACGGAGUCCCGCGUGGCAGAGCAGGAGGAGGCGUUCUGGAGCCCCAGAUACAUCUUCCACAGCUUCAUGGAGAGACUGUGGGCGUACCUGACCAUCCAGCAACUGCUGGAGCAAACAGUCUCCACGCUAGAUGCUGAGAAGCAGGCUCUUGAGGCCCGAGCUCUGAACUUGUCGCUCAGCUACAGUUUUGUCACCCCGCUCACGUCCAUGGUGAUCACCAAACCCGAAGGUCAAGAGCAGUCUCAGGUUGCUGAGAAACCCGUGGAAAAUGAAAACAGACACAGGAACGUCCACUCAGGUCACACUCUCUUCAGAUAUCAUUCCGUGGGAGGCAAAGCGUCCAGAGUAUCAGGACCACCUGGACCUCUUCAUCCUCCUCAUCUUCCUUAUCCACCCCACCGUACGCCCUGGAGACCAACGCCACCAGACGUGAUGCCACGGCUAUCAGCUACCUCAUUUCUUGAUGAACAUGACAUGGACUUAAGAAUCAAAGAAACAACCACGGCAUCCCCACACCACGCCCCCAUCCAGCCUCCUUCUGUCAUCCUGCCGCUGCCUGGGCAGAGCGUGGACCGGCUCUGUGUGGACCUCAAGCGCUCUCAGGGACCGACAAACCUGCUCUCAGACCCUGGCCAAGGGGUUGAGGUGACUGGCCACUAUGAGACAGAGAAGGGCCACUUCUCGUGGAUUGAGGUGACCUUCGAGAAACCCCAGCUGCAGGUUCGUGCAUCCCCUGAGCACGUGGUAGUGACUCGGAACCGAAGAAGCUCUGCAUACAAGUGGAAGAAAACUCUGUACUCGGUGAUGCCAGGUCUCAAGAUGACCAUGGACAAGGCGGGGCUUCUGCUGCUCAGCAGCCCUGACAGAGUGACCAUCGGCCUGCUGUCCUGGGACAGCCCUGGGGCGGGGCUCCGGCUCCUUCUGCGGGACACUGACCGCUUCUCCAGGCACAUCAAUGGGACCCUUGGCCAGUUUUACCAGGACGUGCUCUGGGAGCCCCUGGCAGCAGCAGAUGACAGCAAGCGAACACUGAAGGUCCAGGGGCAUGACCACUCUGCCACCAGAGAGCUCAAGCUGGACUACCAAGAGGGGCCCCCGGGAACGGAGAUUUCCUGCUGGUCUGUGGAGCUGUAGUUCUGAUGCAAGGAGUUAUGCCCACCCACCGUGCCGCCUGCUGGGUGCAGAUGGCUGCCACCCUGCGACCACAGGGCCACCUAUGGGUCCUGUAACAUCAUGGGGAGAGCCGCAUCGGUGGAGAGGCCCAGGAAGUUGCCUUCCUAGCAGCCAGCCCUUCCUUCGAGCUGCCUGUCCCCUGGAGCAGGGGCUCAUGGAAGCAUGCAGACACUGGUAGCCGUCCGGUUUCUCCUUGGCCUUUACUGUCACAGCCCUCCAUCAGGCCCCACUCUGUGCCUCCGUUCCAGAUGCCAUGCAAGCCCUGCCAGCCGCCUCAGUAGGAGCUGGCAUGUCCACUCAGAACAGGCUGGGGACAAUGUAGUCGCUGUGGACGCCGUCAAUCAGCCCUUGCCCAUUGUUGUGGACGAACCAGCAGGCAACUUUUGUGCCAAUGCUGAUGUCCUUCCUGUAGUCCUUCUGGGAGCCCCUGGGAGAAAGGAGAGAGAUGCUGUGAUACACGGGGUAGGCAAGAUGGCUGCUGCGCCCAAGGACCUAAGGUUGAAAAGGCGUGUGAAGUUGCCAAUUCUAGGAGUCCAAACUCUGGUCAAGAAUGAGGCCUUGUGGUUACUCCUUCUAGGGGGUCAGAUUUGGCCUUUUCCCAGUUAGAGGGGGCCAAGACCCCAGAGGGAAACAAGGAUGCCCCACAGACGACAAGAGCCAGCUGGGCUGAUGUACGUGGGCAGAGAGCGCUCCUUCCUCCUGUCUUGUGACAGGGCAGGGUGAGGA